Long non-coding RNA from Gossypium raimondii (Peruvian cotton), 2080 nucleotides. RefSeq lists it as uncharacterized. The record is from RefSeq and is a predicted model, not a curated record. Lineage: Eukaryota; Viridiplantae; Streptophyta; Magnoliopsida; Malvales; Malvaceae. The transcript is spliced from 2 exons.
CCACUCAUUCACCACUCACUUCUUUCAUUCACUCAUCUAUUUUUUCUCUCUCCUUUUACCUUUCCAUUUUCUUUUCUUUCCUUUUUCGAUUUUCCCUCUUGAUAAACAGCUAGCAAGCCUCUUGGAGUAGAAGCAAUUGAGCAUCUUGGAGGCCUUUGACCGGUAGAACAAAGUAGAGAGAAAGAGACGAACGCUAGUCUGGCUUCGAAAAAACAUCAAAUUUGUCUUCUAGUUUCCCCGUCUACCUUUUAGUUUGUUUCGUGAUCAUAAACAUGAAUGAUUAUUAUUUUGAUGCUUCUAAUUUAAUUAAUAUGACUUAAAUUAUAUUUGUGUUAGAUUGAUUGUAUUUUAUCCACUUAAAUUGUUAAAAUUAUAUUUGUGUUAUUAUAGGCUUUGGUAGUUUGUCCAAUUAGAUAAAAUCAUGCCUAUGUUAUACUUGCAUUAUAAUUGUAAGGUAACAAUUGAAUUAAUUAUUAAUCAAAUUGAAAUUGUAAUUAAUUGAUAAAAUAUCUAAUUGAUACAUGUUUAAUCUUCUUACGUGUAAAAUGGGUUAAAUUAGCAAUAGUAUUAAACAAUAUUCUUACCUUGCAUAACUUGUAAGAUUGUUGUGAUUAAUUUUUUUAAUACGAGAAUGUAUUGUUACUUCACUUUGUCUUAUACAUGCUUAUGAAAUUGAUUAAUUAGUUUAACAUAGAAAUAUGUUUGAAAUAUUGAUUAAUUGAGUAUGUAUGUGCAUUAGUUAACAAAAGACCAAGUUGCCAUGAAAUUAUUCGUAAUAGCAUGAACAUAGUUUUAAUAAUUGAAGUUAAAUGAAUGAGAUUAAUCUAACACACUUAUGUCAUAUUGAUUAAAACGUACUAGAAAUUGUACUUGGAAUUAUAGUUUAAUUUUAAUUGUUUACUUAGAUUUAAUUUAUAUCUCACCUUUUCCAAAAAUAUCUUUUCCUCUACCAAAUUGCUUAAAUUUACAUUUCAUAAAUACUUGCUUGUAUAGUCCUUGUGGAUACAAUAACUCGACAUACUUGUCACUUGAUUGCUUGUUACGAUUGUAUACACUUGCACAUUUCUGUCGUUCCAAGUUUUUGGCAUCAUUGCCAAGGACUGUUUCAAAAGGCAUUAUUUGUGAAAUUGUUAAUUUUUUAUUUUGGUUUCUUUAUCUAUUAAAUUUUAAUUCCAUUAUUUUCCGUGAUUGUUUCAGGUGUUUAUGAGUAUUGAUCAAACCAUUGAUUUACUCCCUGUAGAUCCUAAAAUUGAUAGGACUUUUAGACAAAGGUGAAGACUAGCAACUCAAAGAAGGGCCGGAGAGAUGAACCUUGAAAACCAAAAUCAAGGAAAUUGAGAAAUUUAUGCUCAAAAUCCUAUCCUUUUUGCUAAUGAUAGGGAUUGGGCCUUAAGAUAGUAUGUUGUAUAGCUUUUUCAUGAGCUUAAUAUAAGAAUUAGUAAGCCCGAGAUAAGGGCACAAUAAUUUGAGUUGAAGCUUGUUAUGUUUCAAAUGCUUCAGACAGUGGUGGAAUGCCUGCUGAAGAUCCUCACCUUCACCUCAGAUUGUUUAUGGAGGAGAGCACUUGGAAAUAAAAGGAGCGAAAAACGAGCCAAAAUCAAAUAAAUAGAGUUGUUUCUAGGAACCACACGAACUGGGAAUUCCCACACGGGCUGGCCACACGCCUGUGUGAACCGUACGAGCUAGCUACACACCCAUGUACCAGCCCGUGUCGAUAACGCAACCUGCCUCCCUUCUGCGCGGAAAAACCCAAUUUUUAGGUUUUCUAAGGAUUCUAAAGUCUAUAAAUAACAAUUAGAAGAUGACUUAAGGAGACAGAUAGAGAAGAUUAAAGAAAAGACUCGAAGAAUGCCAUCAGAAUCAUCUCGGAAGCGGAUCUCCUUCAAGAUUGAAGAUUUCCAUUUAAUUUUUUAGAAGCUUAUUUGGGUUUCUUUAUGUUUUGUUGUUAUCUUAACUUUGAGAUGUUUCUGUUUAGGAUUAUGAACUAAAUUCCCUAGAUACCUAGGGAAGAUGAAACGUAUGAUGAAUUGUAUUAUUUGAUUUCUGAUUUACAUGAUAAAUACUUGAUUCUUGUUCUCAA